GAUGAACGCUGGCGGCGUGCUUAACACAUGCAAGUCGAACGGUGAAGUAGAGCUUGCUCUGUGGAUCAGUGGCGAACGGGUGAGUAACACGUGAGCAACCUGCCCCUGACUCUGGGAUAAGCGCUGGAAACGGCGUCUAAUACUGGAUAUGUGACGUGACCGCAUGGUCUGCGUCUGGAAAGAAUUUCGGUUGGGGAUGGGCUCGCGGCCUAUCAGCUUGUUGGUGAGGUAAUGGCUCACCAAGGCGUCGACGGGUAGCCGGCCUGAGAGGGUGACCGGCCGACACUGGGACUGAGACACGGCCCAG
This 307-nucleotide ribosomal RNA is filed under the name uncultured bacterium. Its description in RNAcentral is "bacterial SSU rRNA". It matches the Rfam family "Bacterial small subunit ribosomal RNA", at positions 28 to 334 of the family's 1533-position model. The record is from RNAcentral.